UUCCAUAUAGUGUAGUGGUUUAGCAUUCCAGAUUUUCAGCAUCAUGAAUAUUCUGGCGACCCGGGUUCGAACCCCGGUAUGGAAA
This is a non-coding RNA of Dichotomopilus funicola, 85 nucleotides long. Lineage: Eukaryota; Fungi; Ascomycota; Sordariomycetes; Sordariales; Chaetomiaceae. The record is from the annotation of a RefSeq genome assembly.